GACGAACGCUGGCGGCGUGCCUAAUACAUGCAAGUAGGACGCAGUUGCGAACGGGUGAGUAACGCGUAGGUAACUGCCUAUUAGAGGGGGAUAACUAUUGGAAACGAUAGCUAAUACCGCAUACUAGUAGAUGGACCUGCUUUGUAUUAGCUAGUAGGUAGGGUAAUGGCCUGACUAGGCGACGGUACAUAGCCGACCUGGGAGGGGGAUCGGGCACCCUGGGACUGAGACACGGCCCAGGCUCCUACGGGAGGCAGCAGUAGGGAAGCUUGCGCAAUGGGGGGAACCCUGACCGGGCAACGCCGCGUGAGUGAAGAAGGUUUUCGGAUCGUAAAGCGCUGUUGUUAAGGAAGCGGUACUUAACCAGAAAGGGACGGCUAACUACGUGCCAGCAGCCGCGGUAAUUC
Molecule: ribosomal RNA, 407 nt
Filed under: uncultured bacterium
Lineage: Bacteria
Description: partial 16S ribosomal RNA
Rfam family: Bacterial small subunit ribosomal RNA
Source: RNAcentral